CCGCUGCCGUUGCUUCCGUGGCUCGCCAUCAAUCGCCAUCGCCAUCGCCAUCGCCAUCGCUUUGCUUGUUGCCUGCUUGCCGCGUCGCCGCUCUACUUCCUCAUGGCUCCUCUCGCUGCUGCUGUUGCGUUUGGUUAGGGUGAGCUCCUUCUUUCGUUCGCUUAUUAAUUUCCGCUGCUUCCGCUCUCCACUCAGCUGUUGAUCUUUCUUCCUUCCGCUUUCUUUUCGUGUGUAGGGUGCCUGUGGCUGCUUUGUCGUGCGUCCGUGCGGCUGUUUGUUCCUUCUUUUCAGAGGUGAGGUUCUGCCCGUUCCCGAUCUUUCCUGUGUUGCUUGAGUCAUGGGUGCGUUUGUGCCAUGGAUCUAUUGUUUGCUGCUUCUAAGAGCCGAUGGGAUUUGGUUUAUCCUUUUUUGUGUUGUACUGAUGUGUGUCCAUGGAUGUUGUGUGUCGAUUUUUGCUUCCUGCCUGUGUGACUCCAUUCAUGCUCAUGAACUGUUUGACGUUAUGUCCCUUCACUGUGAGACGUUAAAUUUGUUCUUCUUAUUUCAGAAAUCGCACUAAUCGGUUCGUCGUCAGAUUUGCCUUGCUGUUUCAUUUACUCAAAGGAUCAUCUUUCUCUUCAGGUUCGAUUUUCAGCACUUUUCCUUGCCGCUUCAGUCUAUUGUGCUUUUUCUUGUAUGUUAUACGCUUUAAAACGAGAUCAACCUAAGCGAACUUGUUUGUGCCAUUUGAAAUUCAGUUAUGUGCAAAGAAAAAGGUCGCAAAAUAGUUAGUAAUAAUUAUUAAACAAUAGACGAAGUAGAUGGAGAACUUAUCACUUUUACUGUUUCAUUACCUCAUCAGGAUCUGGUACUUCCAGUGUAGUGCCAUGAGGUGCUUUUAUCGCGAUUAGUGUUUCAUUCUGCAGAACGACAAAGACCAUAUGAGAUCGCAACAAAAUUAUCUCCAUACAGAUUAUUAUAGCUGGUCUGUUAAGCUAACUCUGAACAAUUAGCAAUAAAGUGACCUUUGGAAAUGAAUAAUAUUGCAUUUCUCAGUAAAACAGACAGACCUGAAAACAGGGCAAUCCCUUGAUGUCAUCCUCGGUAAGGUAUAGCCACCUAAAGGCAGGAAUUCCAGAAAAAGAUUAGUACAUGAUUAGAAACUGGCAUCCUAUUAAGUACAAAAGCCAAACAUGGAAGGAAUAUAGUUUACCUCUGAUUGUUCUCCUCUUCAGUUAACUCCCUCACCUUUUCAUGCAUUUCACUGCAAGUAUAAUUAUUUUCAGAUCAUGUAGCUAUUUGUUUUAGGUACCAGACAAAUUACAGUCAAUAAUUUUGCAACCUCCAGUAGCUACCAACCUUAUACGAUUAUCCAAUGUUUUUUCUUGGAGUUUAAAAUUUUCAAGUUCUGUCUGCGCCAAGGUUACACAAAAGGCUGCUUAGAUUAAAAUGUUUUCUGUUUCUAUCUUCAGAAGAAAUUAUCAAAACUGACAAUUUCAAGGUUGCAAGAACUAGAAAAUUACAGCAAUACGUAUCUCCAAAACUGAAAUUUCAUUGUCUAAGUUAGCUCCUGAGUCAUCCAAACCGCUGCAGCGUUGCGAGCUUAGCAUUUCACACCAUAAAUACAUGCAUAAAUAGUUAGAAAGAAGACAAUGUUUACCUCCAACGGAUUCUGUUCUUAAGCUUCUUUAUGGGACGUCCUUCCAGCCGAGGCCCAAAAAUACCAUCCGCCUGGCCCAUGGCAAAUGCUCAGCCCAACCGUGUUUUCGCAAAACAAAGCCCAAAACUGGCUAUACCGAUUCCACACGCCCGCACCCGGGUAAUUCGUUUCUAUAUGUUCACACACUAGGCUGUACAUACUCGAAUCAUCAAUUGGAUAGCACAAAUAUUCACUUCUCUUUGCUCUUCUUACUUAAGCAUUCAAAGUUAUCUUCCAUAUCACACAACAAUUUAUGUCCAUGUAAAUAACCUGCUUUCUUUUACCAGUAUUUUCAGGUUAACUAUACUGAAGAGAACCUGCUCGACUACAUUGAUCCAAACAAUGAUACACUCAUGGUGAGACUUGCCGAUGACCAUUUGGUCGCCAAGUGUCGCAUCAUGGUAGCAACUGACAAGAGGGCCACUAUAACCACCAACUGGUCUGAGUUUCGUCGUCGCGCCAACAUUCGUGAAGGAGAUGUCUGUGCAUUUCGUUUUAGGAUCAUUUCAAGGCGCCGCCUGGUUCUCACCAUGCACCACCUCUAGAUGCACAAUCAAACAUGCUACGGCCCCUCCGUCAAUAUAAUCUAAUAUAAUGCACUAUUAAGUACUCCUAAUUAUGCUAUAGCCCUGUAAUGACCUAUGCUCCUCUUUUGUGCGCUCUUAUAUCAUGCUUUUCAAGACCUACUGCUUAUGUUGACAGCAUUGAUAUCAAUCAGACGUUUCAUGUUCAGAUCCAUAAUGGGUUUUCUCUCUACAGUUUAUAUUUCUUUUCCUGCUGCUAACUUUGUUCAAUCAAGAUACCAUCCCAAACGUUAAUUAAAAUAAAAAGGAGUGUUCAAAGGGGCGAGUACAACCAGGCAACGCCCAGCUCCCCCUCAAGAGGCGCGCCACGGGCGCGCCCCAGCACCUAGU
RNAcentral lists this long non-coding RNA (2592 nucleotides) under Triticum aestivum (bread wheat). RNAcentral's name for it is "long non-coding RNA (TAES_LNC026585)". The record is from RNAcentral. Lineage: Eukaryota; Viridiplantae; Streptophyta; Magnoliopsida; Poales; Poaceae.